Long non-coding RNA from Vigna radiata var. radiata (mung bean), 530 nucleotides. RefSeq lists it as uncharacterized. Lineage: Eukaryota; Viridiplantae; Streptophyta; Magnoliopsida; Fabales; Fabaceae. The transcript is spliced from 3 exons. The record is from RefSeq and is a predicted model, not a curated record.
GCAUGGGAGGCAUGGAGAAGACGAUGCAGGUAGGUUACGAUUCCCAUGCAUGGAAACGAUGUGUGGCAUGGAGAAGAAGGGAGACGAUGUGUGGUAUGGAGAAGAAGUGUGUGCGGUGGAGGACAGGGUGAUGCGUAUGGAGGUGGAGAGGAGGACGACCACGGUUGGCUGGAAUUAAUUUGGCAAAGUUUUGGAAUGAUUUCAGAGUACCACGACAAUAACAUCGACAUCAACAUUUGCUUUUAUUUUGCUAGACUAACCAUAACCAUUUGUAUGUUUUGCAGGUUUUUAUAACCAAAAGGUGCGCUACAAGUUUUUGAAGUGUUUUUGGUGUUUGUAGUGGUUUCUGGAUCUGGAUCUGGUCAUCUUCCAAAAGAGGCAUUUCUUGGUUGGUUUUGGUAUUGUGAGUAAUUAUAUUUCAAUAUUAGCAAGUGAAAGUAGUUCCUUAUUGGGAUAUAAGUGUCACUGGCAGCUGAGUAUUGCAAAAAAAUCUUGCUUCUAAUCUUGCUUGAAACCUUCAUAAGUGACUU